GGCCAGGACAGGAGGAAGAGAGGUUCUGGAGAGUGAGUAGAGAAUCUGGAGGAGGACAGGAGGGAGAGAGGUUCUGGAGAGUGAGUAGAGAAUCUGGAGGAGGACAGGAGGGAGAGAGGUUCUGGAGAGUGAGUAGAGAAUCUGGAGGAGGACAGGAGGGAGAGAGGUUCUGGAGAGUGAGUAGAGAAUCUGGAGGAGGACAGGAGGGAGAGAGGUUCUGGAGAGUGAGUAGAGAAUCUGGAGGAGGACAGGAGGGAGAGAGGUUCUGGAGAGUGAGUAGAGAAUCUGGAGGAGGACAGGAGGGAGAGAGGUUCUGGAGAGUGAGUAGAGAAUCUGGAGGAGGGCAGAGGGGAGACUAUAGAGAGGCUCGCUAUCUCCCCUUUCUCCCCCUCAUCUUCCACCCUUCCAACAAGCUGUUCUUCAGAGGGCCUGCCUGCCUGCCUGCUCCCUCCCUGGGUCUGCUGUUGAACUUGGCCUUGCCGUCACUCUGGGGUAACCCAACACCCUGCACAGAGGGUCCUGACAGACAGAGGGACUGGGCGGAGGGUGGAGGGGUGAGG
This is a long non-coding RNA of Oncorhynchus tshawytscha (Chinook salmon), 560 nucleotides long. Lineage: Eukaryota; Metazoa; Chordata; Actinopteri; Salmoniformes; Salmonidae. The record is from Ensembl.